AGGACGGUAACUCAGCGGGAGAGUGCUACCUUGACAGGGUAGAAGUCGCGGGUUCGAUCCCCGCCCGUCCUACCA
RNAcentral lists this transfer RNA (75 nucleotides) under Paenibacillus montaniterrae. RNAcentral describes it as "tRNA-Val". It matches the Rfam family "tRNA". Rfam says of the family: Transfer RNA (tRNA) molecules are approximately 80 nucleotides in length. Lineage: Bacteria; Bacillati; Bacillota; Bacilli; Caryophanales; Paenibacillaceae. RNAcentral also lists the same sequence under 7 other names. The record is from RNAcentral.